Long non-coding RNA from Chelonia mydas (Green sea turtle), 6650 nucleotides. RefSeq lists it as uncharacterized. The transcript has 2 exons. Lineage: Eukaryota; Metazoa; Chordata; Testudines; Cheloniidae. The record is from RefSeq and is a predicted model, not a curated record.
CUGCACCCCUGGCCCCACCCCAGAGCCUGCACCCCCGGCCCAGAGCCCUGACCCCCUCCCACACCUCAACCCCCGGCCCAGAGCCCCUUCCCACACCCUGAACAAAGUGAGAGUUGAUCCAGCAUCAUGUUUAUGAAGAGCUCAUGGUCACAGUGCUGCAGCAGGCUGAGCUUAUAUAAGAAAAGGCCUUGCCCCAGGAAUCUUUGCUUUUAUACAUAGUUUUUUCAAUACUUGUCUUUAAUGCACAUACGCUCAUUAAAAUCAAUCAGGUGGAACAGUCCCAAUACAGGUUUAUAAAAAAUAGUAAGUCUGAUGCCAUGGAAACGUCAUAAACUCAUGCAAUUGUAUGGCUGUGGAAUAAGAUUUUUCAAUUUGUCUUAGUGAUCGGUUUAUAAAGUUGCAAACCUGAGGUUCUUUAUGAUAGGUUAAUGUACAUCCCACUACGUCACUUCCAUUUAAUUGCUGGGUUUAGGAUGUAGGGUCUAGACAAGAUGAUCUGCCACUCAUGGUUUCACUAGUCUUUGAUCUAGACCGAAUACCAAGUGACACCCAGCGUCCGCUGCUGCUUAUUUUAACAAGGUUAUGUUCUGAGAUCCAUGUUAGAUUCCCGCCCCCAUGUGCCAAGCUGUCUCAUUGUUCUCCAGUUCCUUCGAUAAUACUCUCCUUUGCUGGGAUACCUAUAACCUUCCCCCCGCCCACCCCACACACUUGACUGUGGUUAGGCUCCUGAUGCACUGAUACCGUUGUCUAUCAUGCUGACCUAUCUUGUCUCAUUGCAUUCCCCCAUCUACCUGUCUGUAUCCAUCUGUUAUCUCUUGUCUUAUACGCAAGUUUGUAAGCUCUUUGGGACAGAAGCGCUUUUUGUUCUGUGUCUGUGCAGUGCCUAGGAUGCUGGGAACUUGGUCCAUGGCUAGGCAAUAUGGGAACACAAAUAACGAUUAUUAAUUGGGCCUUAUUCCUUGCACCAGUGGGGCUGGGAGUGCUGCAAAAGUGCUUGGAAAGAGAGUGAGGAUGCAAGAGGUGCCUCCUUUUACUAACAGUACCACCUCUGCUGAGACCAAGAGGGCAUCCUAUCCAGUAUUCUCUGGCUGGCAUGACAGUGUCCAUGACAUGAAACCAUGAGAGCUGCAAAGUGAGAUACAGCAUCACGGCUUAAAGAUCUGGAAGGCCCACAAGCAUCAGGCAAAACAGAAUGCAAGUCAGAGCUAAUAACAAUAAAGCCGAGCCCCCUAUAGCAAGACUCCAGUGAACUAUUCACAGAGUAAGUGGUGAAGGGUCUGCUGGAUGCAGUGGUAACUGAAGGGGUCUUGGAAAUUAACUCACUGUAAGAAAAAGAAAAAAAAAGUACAACUUGAAACCUUACUUUUCUGGAUUGAAAACUGUCAAGUAUCAUGAAAGCAGCAGACUGCACUUACCUUACAGAGUCCCGCACGUAUGAGGGAAUGGUUUUCAUGCUCAAAUAACAAAGGAGGGUAUUAAAAACUACUCAAAAUACAAUUCAAUAUUCAAGUUCAAUAUAAGUCUCUAUAUAAAAACUAUCCAAUAUCUCGGGUCUCAAUCUAUGCUGUGCUAAACCAAAUAAGAGCAUGCCUAUAGCCUUACCCAUAAAAUGAAAACAAUUACUUUUGAGUGUGCAUAACUGUCAGGAGGUGUAUCAGACAUGCAGAGAGGAGAGUAUGGAAGAUGCACAAAGGCUGGUGCUCUGUAGCAGACAGAAAAGCUAACUAACUUGUGCUGUUACUAGCCAAAAAAGUUAGUCAUAUAAUGCACACGGCAUUCUAAUACUAAAUAACCUUUCCUUGUCAAAUCCCUGUAAGUAAUUUUUGGUGUGUUUGGAACAGGGAGGGGGGAGAGAAGGAAGAAAUGCCAAGAAGAGAUGUUUAACGGACAAAUGUCUGAUAAAUAAAUAUAUUGCAACAUUUUUUAAAGGCGACCCUUAGCACCUGAGUCUGCCGGAGGGUCUGCAGUGCACAAUGAAGCCUACUUGUCACUGGGUGGCAGCAGCAGCUUCUAAAGUGGAGUGGUUAGACACCAAAUUGAAAAUUACUUGGCAGCCAAUGUUAUCUGGGGGAGAAUCAUUCCUUGGAAGGCCUGCAUCAGUUGUGACCAUGGUGGAUCCUGGUACCUUUACAGAGUCAGGAAGCUAUCGCAAAACAAAAGUGCUACCUUCUUCUUUCACUAAUAAAAGAGGGCACCCACACUUUUGAAACCUGAUCCUGCAAGGUGCAAUUGGGAAUAAGCAGUUUGCACCACACAAGAACAGUCCUUUGGGGAACCCUGGGCACCUACUUAGUAGCGUCAGAUAGCACCGUUGAUCUACUAAUAUAGAAACAUAAAGGGACUUUAGUGCACAAUUUAAGAUGCAAUGCAACGAAUGUCUAGUUAAUCAGUGAAAUGUACAAUUACAAGGCAAUUUAAAUGUUUUUGUUUGGCUGGAUCCUCAGACAGUAAAUUUUCUAUUGCAAUAUUAUACAAAGAUGAAACUGAAUGAACUGCAAGCACUCAAACUAUAUCAAGGAUUUUAGUCAAGCUUCAUCGAUGUAUUCUCUAGAAUACUUUUAGUUCAGCCUCAUUAAUGCUUUAUUUAUCUAGACUACUUUAAGCUUCACUUAAUAACAAAGAUGCUGAAAAAACCAAAGUUCCACACAACAGAAUUGUAAUUUGUAGAAUUUAGGCAGCUAAAAUAAAUAUGUUCCAUGGUUUGAAUUAUCCAGUGUAAAAUUACAGAUGCAUCAGGGAUUGCGUAUCACCUUCUGUAAGCAUUCAAAACCAAGCAUUUCCCCCCCAGUAAAGACAUGGCUCCUGUAAAUGAAGCAGGUCGAGUGCCCCUGUGCCAGAACAGGUGCUCCCAGUUUGGCCAAUUCAAGAGGAUGGGACAGCAUCUGGGGCUGUAAUAAAAAUCAGGGAGACUCUAAGAAAGGGAGACCUGGAGAGUCAGGGCUGUCUGAGGGUCAAGUCAGGAAAGAGGCAGGUGAGAGCUGCCUGGGAGUGAGUGGUUGGCAGCUGAGAGCUGCCAGAGCCAGGAGACAGUAUGUGGCUCCUGGGGGAAAGCAGGAGAGCAGCAAUGGGGAUUUCCUGCUGACCUCCCCAAUCCAGGGCCAAAGGGGUGGAGAGCAGCAGAGGGGCUUAUCUGCUGCCACCUCCACCCUGGACCCAGGUGAACGUGAGAGCCAAGGGAGUGAAGGAUGCUUCCCUGGUAAGAGGAUCUCCAAGCACUGAGACGGGGGAGGGGGUUUCCCCACUGGGAAAAGUGGGGUUUUAAGGACUAUGUACACUGGCUGUGAGAAAUGGCCUUUUGUUGGAGAUUAUUUGAACUACGUUUUGGGACUAAACCAGCCCCAAGGAGGGGUAUUAAGCAAGAGAGCCUGAAGUGGAAUCCCAGGGAACUCAAAGUGGAAUCUGAUGCAGCUGAGCCUGCUGUACCACAGCCACCCAUAGGAGGGCGCUCAAGGCAGGGCUACCCUAUGACAAAUGUAUAUUUGACUUACAGAAAGAGAGAAUUUAACCUAAAAAAAAUGCAACUCAACCCCCAGUCCUUUAUACCAGGACUACACAGUAAAUGAUCUUCUAUUUCUUUUCAGGCGAUGACUAUGUAAUUUGUAUCAAUGUAGUACAUUUUAAUGUUUAAAAUUAGACUUCAGUAAUUCAGAAGUGUUCUGAAUUAUUGCAGUCUAACCUAGCUAGGACACAAUAGUGUACAAUGAAGUUUCUUACUGUGAACAAUAUUUUUAAUAUAAAUAAACUUUUAAAUCAGAGCACUGCUUCUGAAGGGUAAACAAAGUUCAUCUGUGAUGUAUACAAGAUUUUAUAUAUGAAUUGCAAAAAAGAAGGGUCUCUUCCUUCCCAGAAUUUUACAUACUGAGAAACUAAACAAAGCAUUGUUCAGAACAAAAUGUUUCACAACCGUUAUAAUUUAUCAGUCCAAACAUCACACUGUUUUUUAAAGCCUACAGGCUGUUUGAUCCUAUGGAAGAAUGGUUUUGUGGUUAAGACAGUUUAAUGGAAGUCAAGAGAACUAGAGCAAUUCCCAGCUUUGCCACACCUCCUGCAUGACCACGAGCAUGGCACUUAAGAUACAUCUAAGCUGCAGCCAAGGGUAUAGAUGUACCCAGGCUUGCUUUACCCCAGCUAGCUUGCCUAAAAGAGUGGUGAGGAUGCCGUGGUGCCAGUGUCAGCUUGCUUGACCCUCUCUGGAUACGUCCUUGUUUAUGCAGCUUGCGCCGCCAUAUUCUCACUGCUAUUUCCGGGGAGCUAGCUGGAUUAAAGCCAGCGCAGGUACGUCUACAUGAGCUGCAAAUCCCACCCCUGGCUGUAGUGUAGGUGUACCCUUCAUCUUCCUAUGGCUCUGUUCCCCAUCUGUUAGGGGUAUUGUGAGGAUAGGAGAUUCAUCAGUUUGAGGCACUCAGACACCACAGUGAUGGGGUGUGUACAAGUACCUAGAGAGACAGAAUACUUCAGGGCCUAAUCCUACAAUGUGCUAAACAUCCUUGACUCUCAUUUUUUGUCCUUUAUCAAGGUAGGUACAUCUAUGCCCCUCCAGCCCACCAUUGUAGUAUCUGAAUGCCUUAGACACAUGAAUGGAUUUAUUCUCAGAGCACCCUUAGUGAAGUAGGGAACUAUUACUCAAGUCAGUGGGUCCUCAGUAUCUUGAAGGAUCAGGCCCUAAAUGCAGCCAGACUGAGGCUUUGUCUACGCUAGCACUUUUGUCGGUCAUAGGUGUGAAAAAACUCCCCCAAUGGUAUAAAUUUGGUAUAAAGGUUGGUAUAAAUUUCACCAACAAAAGUGCUGCUGUGGACAGUGUUAUGUCGGCAGGAGACACUCUCAUGCCAACAUAGCUGCCGCUGCUUGUUGGAGGUGGUUUAAUUAUGCCGGUGGGAGAACGCUCUUCUGCUGGCAUAGAGCGGCUACACGGGAGACGCUGCAGCAGUACAGCUAUGUCGCUGCAAAGUCCAUAGUGCAGACAUAGCCUAAGUCAAAGGCCAACUAGGUGAACUGAUUUUGGAGGGUUUUACGCAUUUCUCUCUUCAAAUAUUUAUUUUGCUCCUUCUCUCCUUUUCUUGGCAUUGCCAAGUAUACCAGAUACCACGUAUACUCAAAAGUAAAGUCCAAGGGCCAAGGCCUGACCUUGAAAAGACAUAUGCAAACACCAUUUUAGAACCUAAGACAAAAUGCUAAAUAGUCAGCUACUGCAUCGUGGAUUUAGAGGAACUCUUUGGAAUAUUAAAUAUAAAACUCAUAAUGCUAAAAACAUUUAAAAAUGCGGUUCAGUCACACACGACCUGUAUACUAUUCUGUAAUGACAAGAUUCACAAACAAAAGCCUUCUACUGAUUAUGACUAUUAAGACUAAACUAAAUUUUGUAAAUAAUGCAUACUGUAGUUAGGCCAAUUACCUAUACAGCUGUACCAGAGCACACUAGGCAUGGACAAUAUAUCUCAGAGAAUGUGCACUACUAGGAAAAAUUAUGGAAACAAGUUAAACUUCAAAAAGAAAAACAGAAUGAUCCAACAUAUGCUCAUACAGUUAGAGUAGCUUGCCUGGCAAGAAAACAAUAUGUAUUACGUCCUGAAUUAUGUGAAGUCCUGAAAAACAAGGCAGGAAUCUAAGUAUGUUGUACAGGAACUGUGAAAGUCAAGAGACUAAAAAAUGUGACCAAGAUGGACUCUGUGUGAGGCACCAUGUCCAGAAUAAUACCAGCAUUCUUCAAGGUAUCUCCAGAGCAGAGACAAGUCAACAAGACAAAACAUAAGGAUCACUCACAAAAUAUUUGUAUAUUUCCAUAUGUAUGUGUUUAAUAAGCAAUUAUCUUCACUAUUUACCUUGUCAAAGCAGAUCAAACAACCAAUAUAUAAACACUAUAUUCUGUGAAUCUAGUUUGGUAUAGUGCAUGGAAGCAUUUCUAUAUUUUUCCCCCCAGUGCAGUAUUUUUUCUACAUAUGGUAUACUAGAAUUUACUGAAGUCUUUGAGAAACUUGCAAAGGCAGAGAGUCUGCCUUCACUGUUAGAAAGACUUAGGACCAAAUAUCAUUAGGAAAAAGCACAUUUCAAGAGCAUUUUAAUGUAUACCAUGAGGGUGCAGGUGAAUAGGUUUUAUUUUAAAGAAACAGUCUUUAAAGUACUUUGCUUUGUGGCUCUUAUAAACAUUACCAUAUUUUUUCACAAAUGUAAAAUAUAUUAUAGCUGUUUAGAUUUAAAAGGCAAUUCCCACUGGGUGAUAAAUAUUUUGAAGAAAAUAUUAACCUACAAGAAAGGGGCAGCUCCGUGAGAACUAGUUUUUAAACAUUCAGUUUUGUCAGUCCAUCUCCUUUUGGCCCAAACUGACAUUUUUCACUCAGACUUCCUUUAAUGGCAAUAAGGCUGCUCCACGAGCCGUGGUUAACACCUUGGCGAUGACAGGUACUAUAACUGGCUGCUCCUCAUGCUUUCUAACACCCCAAGAGUGCAAGUAUCAAUAAUCACAAUUGUGCAUUAAAAUAUAAUUUACACAUUUCAAAAUAUUGUUAAUAGACUUCCCUAUCUUAAAAUGGCUUACAUUAACAGUACUUUGAAUUAUUUCAGGGUCGAUUAGGUUUAAGCAAUUCACCACUUCAAGAGUGCAGCUCACAAACAACACAACCCACCGAGGGGUAGCGAUAGAUUCAUAGUGCAGA